This 257-nucleotide ribosomal RNA is filed under the name uncultured Atopobium sp. RNAcentral describes it as "partial 16S ribosomal RNA". It matches the Rfam family "Bacterial small subunit ribosomal RNA", at positions 99 to 355 of the family's 1533-position model. The record is from RNAcentral. Lineage: Bacteria; Bacillati; Actinomycetota; Coriobacteriia; Coriobacteriales; Atopobiaceae.
CGAACGGCUGAGUAACACGUGGGCAACCUGCCCUUUGCACUGGGAUAGCCUCGGGAAACCGAGGUUAAUACCGGAUACUCCAUAUCCAUCGCAUGAUAGAUAUGGGAAAGCUCCGGCGGCAAAGGAUGGGCCCGCGGCCUGUUAGCUAGUUGGUGGGGUAGUGGCCUACCAAGGCAAUGAUGGGUAGCCGGGUUGAGAGACCGACCGGCCAGAUUGGGACUGAGACACGGCCCAGACUCCUACGGGAGGCAGCAGUC